GUCUACGGCCAUACCACCCUGAACGCGCCCGAUCUCGUCUGAUCUCGGAAGCUAAGCAGGGUCGGGCCUGGUUAGUACUUGGAUGGAAACAUUGCAUUUUUAAAAGGCAAUAUUUGGAGCUUAGUAC
This 127-nucleotide ribosomal RNA is filed under the name Octodon degus (degu). The record is from RNAcentral. Lineage: Eukaryota; Metazoa; Chordata; Mammalia; Rodentia; Octodontidae.